AAGAGUUUGAUCAUGGCUCAGAUUGAACGCUGGCGGCAGGCCUAACACAUGCAAGUCGAACGGUAACAGGAAGCAGCUUGCUGCUUCGCUGACGAGUGGCGGACGGGUGAGUAAUGUCUGGGAAACUGCCUGAUGGAGGGGGAUAACUACUGGAAACGGUGGCUAAUACCGCAUAACGUCGCAAGACCAAAGAGGGGGACCUUCGGGCCUCUUGCCAUCAGAUGUGCCCAGAUGGGAUUAGCUUGUUGGUGAGGUAACGGCUCACCAAGGCGACGAUCCCUAGCUGGUCUGAGAGGAUGACCAGCCACACUGGAACUGAGACACGGUCCAGACUCCUACGGGAGGCAGCAGUGGGGAAUAUUGCACAAUGGGCGCAAGCCUGAUGCAGCCAUGCCGCGUGUAUGAAGAAGGCCUUCGGGUUGUAAAGUACUUUCAGCGGGGAGGAAGGUGUUGUGGUUAAUAACCGCAGCAAUUGACGUUACCCGCAGAAGAAGCACCGGCUAACUCCGUGCCAGCAGCCGCGGUAAUACGGAGGGUGCAAGCGUUAAUCGGAAUUACUGGGCGUAAAGCGCACGCAGGCGGUCUGUCAAGUCGGAUGUGAAAUCCCCGGGCUCAACCUGGGAACUGCAUUCGAAACUGGCAGGCUUGAGUCUUGUAGAGGGGGGUAGAAUUCCAGGUGUAGCGGUGAAAUGCGUAGAGAUCUGGAGGAAUACCGGUGGCGAAGGCGGCCCCCUGGACAAAGACUGACGCUCAGGUGCGAAAGCGUGGGGAGCAAACAGGAUUAGAUACCCUGGUAGUCCACGCCGUAAACGAUGUCUACUUGGAGGUUGUGCCCUUGAGGCGUGGCUUCCGGAGCUAACGCGUUAAGUAGACCGCCUGGGGAGUACGGCCGCAAGGUUAAAACUCAAAUGAAUUGACGGGGGCCCGCACAAGCGGUGGAGCAUGUGGUUUAAUUCGAUGCAACGCGAAGAACCUUACCUGGUCUUGACAUCCACGGAAGUUUUCAGAGAUGAGAAUGUGCCUUCGGGAACCGUGAGACAGGUGCUGC
Molecule: ribosomal RNA, 1048 nt
Filed under: Salmonella enterica subsp. enterica
Lineage: Bacteria; Pseudomonadati; Pseudomonadota; Gammaproteobacteria; Enterobacterales; Enterobacteriaceae
Description: bacterial SSU rRNA
Rfam family: Bacterial small subunit ribosomal RNA
Source: RNAcentral